Molecule: long non-coding RNA, 212 nt
Filed under: Scleropages formosus (Asian bonytongue)
Lineage: Eukaryota; Metazoa; Chordata; Actinopteri; Osteoglossiformes; Osteoglossidae
Description: lncRNA (ENSSFOG00015030799.1)
Source: RNAcentral
CGGUCCCAGACCGAACGCAACGGUUAAACGUCGCGAGCGCAAACAGCGCAGGUGAGCGGAAGGCGCGCUGAUGGAGGAAUAUGUCGACCAGGAGAAAGAAGCGACGGGAGAAGCAGUCGGGCCGAGCAGGGAUGCGCAUCAUCAGGACACGAGAGACACGCUCUCCGGAAGGCAUCUUUUGUGCCGAAGCCGGCGGGGCACCAUCACCUGGU